Molecule: non-coding RNA, 45 nt
Filed under: Schistosoma haematobium
Lineage: Eukaryota; Metazoa; Platyhelminthes; Trematoda; Strigeidida; Schistosomatidae
Source: RNAcentral
AUCCAGCCGACGAGUCCCAAAUAGAACGACACGCCCGUCCGGGAU